Molecule: regulatory RNA element, 104 nt
Organism: Alistipes sp. An31A
Lineage: Bacteria; Pseudomonadati; Bacteroidota; Bacteroidia; Bacteroidales; Rikenellaceae
Rfam family: TPP riboswitch aptamer (THI element)
About the family: Vitamin B(1) in its active form thiamin pyrophosphate (TPP) is an essential coenzyme that is synthesised by coupling of pyrimidine and thiazole moieties in bacteria.
Source: Rfam
ACAACACAAGAGGGGUGCCCCGCUGCUGGCGCAGAGAGGCUGAGAUUAUACCCUAUGAACUUGAUGCGGGCAAUACCGCCGAAAGGACUUGUUCAUAGACCGUA